This 1008-nucleotide long non-coding RNA is filed under the name Calidris pygmaea (Spoon-billed sandpiper). RNAcentral's name for it is "lncRNA (ENSCPGG00000001854.1)". Lineage: Eukaryota; Metazoa; Chordata; Aves; Charadriiformes; Scolopacidae. The record is from RNAcentral.
CACUGGCCAGCCCUGCGACCACCCUUAAACCUCUGGGAGGUCUCACCUCUUCAUUUUUUGAGGCUCAGAUCAACUUGGCUGGGCGGUGGGGUGCGGUGGGUGCCGGGGUCCCCGCCGCUUGCCCCCCACCUACACCCCCAGACCGCCUCCCCACACACCCCCCGCAGCGCAUCUCCCCCUCCUUCGGCCGAGCCGGGCUGGGGGGUCAGACCCGCGUCUCCCCGGGCCCCGGGGGCGUCCCGCCGCCCUCCUUACCUCCGCCAUGGGGCAGCCGCCGCCGCCGCCCCAUCCUCCUCCCGCGGCGGGGCCGGGGGCGGCUCCCCCGGGCGGGGCGGGCAGGACCGGGCGCCUCCGCUCGCCCCGGGGCCGAGAGCCGGGGCGGGAACUCGCCAGGGCAGGUCCGGCUGCCAGCGGAGCCCGAGGAGGCUCGGGGGUUCGGUGGCCCAUGGCUGCCCGGCGGUAGCCACACACCCCCCACCGCCCCGACAGCCGACGCGCCUCGUCCGGGGGUGCGUGUGCGCGGGGUGGGGGGUGAGACCGACCGUCUCCUCGUCUCCCGCAGCCGAGCACGAACACACACGCACACACACGCCGCCGCCGCCGCCCCCGCACCGGCCCGGCCCCCGGGCGGGAGGCGGCGCGGGGGCGGGACGGGAGACGCGGGACGGGGACCCCGGCACCCACCGCACCCCGCCGCCCAGCCAAGUGUCGGGGACGCGGGACGGGGACCCCGGUACCCACCGCACCCCGCCGCCCAGCCAAGUGUCGGGGACGCGGGACGGGGACCCCGGUACCCACCGCACCCCGCCGCCCAGCCAAGUGUCGGGGACGCGGGACGGGGACCCCGGUACCCCCGCACCCCGCCGCCCAGCCAAGAGUCCCGGGACAUGACACCCACCUGUGUCCUGGGGGCUCCCUGCCUGCCCCGGGAUGGGGGGGAGUAACAGCCUCCGGUGGCUGGAGCGGGCUGGGAAUAAAGGAGGCGGGUUAGAAAGGGACGGGAGCUAA